This 253-nucleotide ribosomal RNA is filed under the name uncultured bacterium. RNAcentral's name for it is "partial 16S ribosomal RNA". It matches the Rfam family "Bacterial small subunit ribosomal RNA", at positions 524 to 776 of the family's 1533-position model. The record is from RNAcentral.
UACGUAGGGUGCAAGCGUUGUCCGGAUUUAUUGGGCGUAAAGAGCGUGUAGGCGGUCUGGUAGGUCCGUUGUGAAAACUCGAGGCUCAACCUCGAGACGCCGGUGGAAACCAUCAGACUAGAGUCCGGAAGAGGAGAGUGGAAUUCCUGGUGUAGCGGUGAAAUGCGCAGAUAUCAGGAAGAACACCCGUGGCUAAGGCGGCUCUCUAGUACGGUACUGACGCUGAGACGCGAAAGCGUGGGGAGCGAACAGG